Molecule: non-coding RNA, 392 nt
Organism: Zonotrichia albicollis (white-throated sparrow)
Lineage: Eukaryota; Metazoa; Chordata; Aves; Passeriformes; Passerellidae
Source: RefSeq, a predicted model, not a curated record
UCAGUGCUGGCUAAUUCCAGGAACUGAGACUGUAUCUAAAUGCAAAUCUCAUCCUUUGGAACCACUUUCCUUUGGGUCCUGAAACACUGUGGAAAUGGCAGUGGAUAUUACACAGGAUGGCCCUCACCUGCUCAGCUCCUUUAGUAUGGACAACUCCAGGGGAUCCCAGCUGGGUUUCCUGGCUGCAGGUCACACAGGUCUGAAGAUUGAAAGAGAGAGAAAAGAAAAAUUUUUCCAAGGUCUCUUGGAAAGCAAAUGGUGCUGCUGGAGGGAAAACCAAUCAAUUCAGAGGUCUGGGCCAGUUCUCUGUUCAAGUGCUCUGCUCCCUCCUUUGCUUCCAACUGUUCCUGUUUCCCAAGAAAACAAACAUCUCCACUGCAGCUUCCAAGUAG